This 801-nucleotide ribosomal RNA is filed under the name Pteromalidae sp. 23937. RNAcentral's name for it is "partial 28S ribosomal RNA". It matches the Rfam family "Eukaryotic large subunit ribosomal RNA", at positions 405 to 944 of the family's 3401-position model. Lineage: Eukaryota; Metazoa; Arthropoda; Insecta; Hymenoptera; Pteromalidae. The record is from RNAcentral. RNAcentral also lists the same sequence under 1 other name.
CCGUUCAGGGGUAAACCUGAGAAACCCAAAAGAUCGAAUGGGGAGAUUCAUCGUCAGCGACUUAGGCUUCCGUGUUGAUUGCGAUGGCUGGGGAUCUCGGUUCCAGGUUACGCGUCUACUGCGGCAUGUCCGAAAUUGUCGACGUGCACUUCUCCCCUAGUAGGACGUCGCGACCCGUUGGGUGUCGGCCUACGGCCGGAUCGGUCGACUGUCGCGGAGCGUUCACGCGUGCACGCGACAGACCAUCUGUUGCCCGGCCGGCUGCCCGGCGGUAUAGAUCGUUAUAAAACGGUAUUGGGCCGCAUUAAGUGCGUUCUGGCUCGUCGGCAGGCUCGUCUCGCUCGGAUUUACGGACUUAGUGCCGUUGCCGGGCGCUUGGCGUCGCUGUUAGUCGACGGUGUCCUCGGACUGGCUCUUACAUUCGAACGGAUUUACCGGUCAGCGACGCUACUGCUUUGGGUACUUUCAGGACCCGUCUUGAAACACGGACCAAGGAGUCUAACAUGUGCGCGAGUCAUUGGGACAUAUUAAACCUAAAGGCGCAAUGAAAGUGAAGGUUGACUCUAGCGUUGACCGAGGGAGGAUGGCUCGUGUCACGAUGCGAGCUCGCACUCCCGGGGCGUCUCGUGCUCAUUGCGAGCAGAGGCGCACCCAGAGCGUACACGUUGGGACCCGAAAGAUGGUGAACUAUGCCUGGUCAGGACGAAGUCAGGGGAAACCCUGAUGGAGGUCCGUAGCGAUUCUGACGUGCAAAUCGAUCGUCGGAACUGGGUAUAGGGGCGAAAGACUAAUCGAACCAUC